Molecule: long non-coding RNA, 776 nt
Organism: Homo sapiens (human)
Lineage: Eukaryota; Metazoa; Chordata; Mammalia; Primates; Hominidae
Source: Ensembl
GCACUGCUGAGACUAUGACACUUGGUUUCUUUGAGUUUGACUAAAUAUUUUACAUGAGUGUAAUUAUACAGCUUUCCUUUUUGACUGUCUUAUUUUACUUAACAGAAUGUUUUGAAUAUUUGUCCUUAUUGUAGUACUUUUCAAGAUUUCCUUAUUUUUAAGGCUGAAUGCUAUCCCAGUGAUUGUACGUGCCCUGUUUGCUGAAUCUACUCAUCCUUAAGGGUAUGUAUUCAUUUCGUACCACCGUAGUGGAAGAGAGACUAUCCCUAUCAAUACACCUGGUAACAUUCCCAACAGUAAGUCGUGAGAUUCUGCUUGAAAUCACCUCUCAGACAAAUAAAAAACAGUCCUGGGAAAUGUACGACACUCAUUCUGCUAAAGAAAUAGGCAUCAUAGCUGGGGAACAGGGAUUCAAAAGACCCAGGCUGUUCCCUACAUAUGUUUCCUCCUCAGACAUCAGUUAAUCAGUCAAUCAAGUCAAGUGAGAGUGGAGGCCAUGUAUUCCCUCUUAUUCUUGGGCACUCUCCUCCAAGGAGGAAAAGGCCAGGAGGUCCUGUUAGAGGAUGCACUCUGAGAGCCCGGGCUCCCUAAGGUAUGAGAGUUCUAACCAGCAGGUGUAGACUUUUCAGGAGUGAGGAAUGAGGCAGGCAUUCCAAACCUGGAGCUUCAUCACCUUUUGUUUCAUCUCAAGACAAUUCUGAGGGGCUGUUUUGGAGCGUGUCUGGAAGGUGAACGUUGAAGAAGAGUGUGGGCUUUGAUGUGACUCAGAUGAGAUC